GUCGAACGAACUCUGGUAUUGAUUGGUGCUUGCAUCAUGAUUUACAUUUGAGUGAGUGGCGAACUGGUGAGUAACACGUGGGAAACCUGCCCAGAAGCGGGGGAUAACACCUGGAAACAGAUGCUAAUACCGCAUAACAACUUGGACCGCAUGGUCCGAGUUUGAAAGAUGGCUUCGGCUAUCACUUUUGGAUGGUCCCGCGGCGUAUUAGCUAGAUGGUGGGGUAACGGCUCACCAUGGCAAUGAUACGUAGCCGACCUGAGAGGGUAAUCGGCCACAUUGGGACUGAGACACGGCCCAAACUCCUACGGGAGGCAGCAGUAGGGAAUCUUCCACAAUGGACGAAAGUCUGAUGGAGCAACGCCGCGUGAGUGAAGAAGGGUUUCGGCUCGUAAAACUCUGUUGUUAAAGAAGAACAUAUCUGAGAGUAACUGUUCAGGUAUUGACGGUAUUUAACCAGAAAGCCACGGCUAACUACGUGCCAGCAGCCGCGGUAAUACGUAGGUGGCAAGCGUUGUCCGGAUUUAUUGGGCGUAAAGCGAGCGCAGGCGGUUUUUUAAGUCUGAUGUGAAAGCCUUCGGCUCAACCGAAGAAGUGCAUCGGAAACUGGGAAACUUGAGUGCAGAAGAGGACAGUGGAACUCCAUGUGUAGCGGUGAAAUGCGUAGAUAUAUGGAAGAACACCAGUGGCGAAGGCGGCUGUCUGGUCUGUAACUGACGCUGAGGCUCGAAAGUAUGGGUAGCAAACAGGAUUAGAUACCCUGGUAGUCCAUACCGUAAACGAUGAAUGCUAAGUGUUGGAGGGUUUCCGCCCUUCAGUGCUGCAGCUAACGCAUUAAGCAUUCCGCCUGGGGAGUACGGCCGCAAGGCUGAAACUCAAAGGAAUUGACGGGGGCCCGCACAAGCGGUGGAGCAUGUGGUUUAAUUCGAAGCUACGCGAAGAACCUUACCAGGUCUUGACAUACUAUGCAAAUCUAAGAGAUUAGACGUUCCCUUCGGGGACAUGGAUACAGGUGGUGCAUGGUUGUCGUCAGCUCGUGUCGUGAGAUGUUGGGUUAAGUCCCGCAACGAGCGCAACCCUUAUUAUCAGUUGCCAGCAUUAAGUUGGGCACUCUGGUGAGACUGCCGGUGACAAACCGGAGGAAGGUGGGGAUGACGUCAAAUCAUCAUGCCCCUUAUGACCUGGGCUACACACGUGCUACAAUGGAUGGUACAACGAGUUGCGAACUCGCGAGAGUAAGCUAAUCUCUUAAAGCCAUUCUCAGUUCGGAUUGUAGGCUGCAACUCGCCUACAUGAAGUCGGAAUCGCUAGUAAUCGCGGAUCAGCAUGCCGCGGUGAAUACGUUCCCGGGCCUUGUACACACCGCCCGUCACACCAUGAGAGUUUGUAACACCCAAAGUCGGUGGGGUAACCUUUUAGAACCAGC
Molecule: ribosomal RNA, 1426 nt
Filed under: Lactiplantibacillus plantarum
Lineage: Bacteria; Bacillati; Bacillota; Bacilli; Lactobacillales; Lactobacillaceae
Description: bacterial SSU rRNA
Rfam family: Bacterial small subunit ribosomal RNA
Source: RNAcentral